CCGCAGACCGCCCGGAACAUUUUGGACCCUCCAACCGGGAUGUCUAGUUCAGUGUGGCCGAGUUUGUUUUCUAAGCACUGCCGUGUCUACGCGGUUGGCUCAGGAACCCGGCGUUCGGACCGGCAGAGGAGGGGAGAAUUCUAACAAUUCCUUACAGCAGUAAACAAGCAACUUACAAAACAGAGCUGGUGGGGGAAACCGCGCUGCUUUGUUAUCGCUCCAAAGAAGCUGAAAGGGACAAGCCGCUUGCUCCUGGACGAUUAUUUUAAUUAAAAUACGAUGAUGAUAAUGAUGUAGAUGAUGACAUUAGCAACUACAAUAACUGGCAAAACAAAAUCCUUUCUUCUGGAGCUAGGGCGGCACUGACGGUCUCUCCAUGAAGCCCGGCCCCAGCCACCAAUGCGACGGGUACCCGACCCACGCGGGAAUGUCGCUCACCCGGGGAAGGGGUGGAAAACUGUUUCUUGGAGAUGAUCCCGAGGGUCCCCACCCGAGGCGCGAGGCCUGGAGAAUGCGCCCAUUGUCUUUUCCGGGCCUCGCCCACAGACCCCAAGGCCGCACCGCGAAACUGACCAGAAAUGGACGAAGCCUGAGUGCGUCGGGAACGAAGCCGGUGGCUACCGGCUUGAAGGCGCGGGCCUCGGCGGGCGCUGCUCAGCUUCAAGCCUGAAGAACCUCCCACUCACUGACAAACCCCUCAAACACCGAGGCACAGACUGGCCUCCGGACAGAGCGGCCGCCGACCGGGCUCCGUCUGCCCCUCCAAGCCGACACUGGCUUCCGAAUAUAUCAUAAUAUGGAAUAAAACGUGAAAUCCUUCUCCCCGCC
Molecule: long non-coding RNA, 828 nt
Filed under: Equus asinus (donkey)
Lineage: Eukaryota; Metazoa; Chordata; Mammalia; Perissodactyla; Equidae
Description: lncRNA (ENSEASG00005029628.1)
Source: RNAcentral